Molecule: long non-coding RNA, 1493 nt
Filed under: Gouania willdenowi (blunt-snouted clingfish)
Lineage: Eukaryota; Metazoa; Chordata; Actinopteri; Blenniiformes; Gobiesocidae
Description: lncRNA (ENSGWIG00000014093.1)
Source: RNAcentral
GUCCUUUUAAGAUUCCGAAAAGGUGUGUAUGCUGCAUUAGGAGAUAUUAAGAAAAUGUAUAACUCUGUGUGGUUGGAAGAGCGUGAAAUGCACCUUCAUAGAUUCCUCUGGAGAGACAGUGAGGAGGAACCCGUUCAAGAAUAUGCUAUCACAAGAGUCAACAUGGGGGACCGUCCAGCUGGCUCUAUUGCUCAGUUAGCCAUGCGGGAAACGGCAAGACUACCCGCAUUUGGUCACAUGGUGGUGGAACGCAGAGUCCUUGAGGAGGACAGCUACGUUGAUGAUAUUUUAACCUCCCACAACAGCCAAGAAGAACUGAGUAAAAUCAUAGAAGGAGUUGAAGAAAUACUGAGGGCUGGAGGGUUCUUUCUCAAACCCUGGCUACAAUCAAGGCAAAGUGGGAGGCGACAAAUGAACAUAGAGACCCAGAGAGCUGCAGAAAAGAGAGAUGAAAGUCAAAGAUACAUCCUCCCAAACCAAAUGAGGGACGAAGAUAACAAAGCUCUGGGAAUAGGUUACCAUGUUGAACUUGACAGAUUGUACAUAAUGUCAACGAUUAACUUUUCCAAAAGGAAAAAGAAAAUGAGAACGGGGAAAAAUCUUCUUCAAGAAGAAAUCAGGAACCAGACACCAAACCCACUGACAAGGAGGCAGCUUUUGAGCCAAAUUGCUGGACUGUACGACCCCAUUGGCUUCGUUACACCUAUCAAACAAAAGGGUGCAAUUCUCGUCAGAAAAGCUUUUCAAGAAGCAGGCGCAGGAAAACUAAACUGUGAAACAUGGGACAAGGCUCUUUCAGCAGGCUUAAGAGAAGAAGCUAUACAACUAUUCGAAGAGUACGUGCAGCUUGAACAGAUAAUGUUCCACAGGUGUAUCACGCCAAAUGACUGGGAAGGGGAGCCUUUUGGAGUCACAUUCUCAGAUGGGAGCGAUAAGACAUAUGGAGCUGUGAUUUAUCUAAGAUGGAACACAAAGACAGGUGUUAAGGUGCGAUUGGUAGAAUCAAAGGCCAAGCUGACACCCCUCAAUCAAAAAGGAGAUGCUGUCAAAGCCGAAAUGUGUGGAGCAGUCUUCGCAGCCAGGCUAAGAAAGUAUGUGGAGAAACAAAGUCGGAUGAAGAUAAGCAGAUGGUUCCAUUUAGUUGACAGCCAAACCAUCCUGGGGGCAAUUCAAAGGGAAAGCUAUGGGUACCAAACUUUCUUUGCCAACAGGGUGGGUGAAAUCCAAAGAAUUUGCCCAGUAGAAGAUUGGUGGUGGAUUCCUGGCAAAUACAACAUUGCAGACAUCAUCACGAGGGGCAGCAUCCUCGAUGAAUUAAAAGAUCACUCCACUUGGCAAAAUGGGCCAGAAUUCCUUAAAGUACCGGUGGAGGAGUGGCCCAUAAAAUCGGCUCGGGAGGUUGCAGCACAAGCCAGGGAAGAGGUAAACAAGCUCCAGAGAAAAACAUUUUCUGCCACAUUGACGAGUGAGAAUGUAAAGGUGUUCCCAAAGGC